RNAcentral lists this long non-coding RNA (1868 nucleotides) under Podarcis lilfordi (Lilford's wall lizard). Lineage: Eukaryota; Metazoa; Chordata; Lepidosauria; Squamata; Lacertidae. The record is from RNAcentral.
AGAAGAAUGCAGUUGAGGUAUAUGGCAGGGUAUUUUAGAACAGCCAAAAGGUUCCUUUUUGAAGUCACAAUGACCUUGAAUACACUUUGCCUUCAAAAGACAGACACAUUCUAUUCUAGAAAAACUCACCUAUAUUGACCAGUUUUUGCUCAGUGAAAUGUUAACAGCUGGCUUACUACUAGGAAUCAAUAUGAAAUUACUAUCAGGUCAUCAAUGAAAGGAUCCCACUUGGGAGCGGGGGAGGAGUUUCAGUGAAUUUAGUGCUCAGUCACAAAUGCACAGCACUCAAUCAACAUAGCUAAGACACACAAUAAUUUAUAACAAUAAUAACAAACAUGCACACACACACGUUUCCAAGCUUUUCCUCUUCAUUAGGCUGGCAUUGUUCAUUGCUAAUAGUACCCUGAUUAGUUUUCAGUUCUCUCAAAAGACUUAACAUGUAGUCAAACGUUUAUAGGUCCUAAAAGAAAUACUGCAACCAUAUUAUCACAUUGAGGCAUGCCAAUCAUGUCGAAACGGAGAUUCAGUUUGCCCAAGUCUCCAAGAGCUGAUAGGAAACUGUGAGCUGUGGUGCAGGAAAGUAAAUCUUACCUCAGCCCUGAGCUCACGAAGUGGCAAGCCACUAAAAUUCAACCAGCCCCCACAAUAAGGAGACAAGAAUACUAGUCUCCCUGGGACUUCUGGGGGAACCAUGAAUGGCGACAGAGUGAAGAGCCUUAACCACCAGGGAAGGCUCAUUCAUCAAGAGGGGUUUAGGGGAGAGCACAAGGGCGCUGUGCACCCCAAAAGAAGCUCAAAAGGAAAUUUUGAGUGCUGAAGUUUUCGGCAGCACCAGAAGCAAACUCUCCUGUCUGCCCCCCCUCCCCCGAGCCGAAAGACAAGGCGGGAGGGGACAGGAUUUAGACGCGGCGUGAAGAAAAACUCCAUCAACUCCCUGAUGAGAAGCCUAAAACUCCAGCCUGGAUGUGGUAACCUUCUCCAUAUAAUUUAAAGCCCGUAUUGCAUAAAACAACUUUAAUUGGACUUAAGUGGAAAGUAGAAUAAUUGGGCGCUGUGAAGGGAGAAAUUUAAGGAGGUCCACCCCUUCCUGGUGUAAGCUACCCUGCAUGGGGACAAUUUACAAGUAGUGAUAACAUUAAAAGAACUUUAUAAUUGGUAAAUAUCCAACUAAUUUUUUGCAGUAAAGAUAAAGUAGAAGACUGAAAAGACUGGAAGAAUAAGUUACAGUGUGCAAGGACAGAAGAGAAUCCUGCCUCCUGGUAAAGAAGGGAGGCGAGAGGACAUUUUAAUCUUCGCUCUGAUUUCUACGGGAACUCUUGCCGAACGAAAGUAUUAAUAGACAGAGAGAGCGAGGGACAUUGUCCGUACGUUUUCCUAUAUUUAAAAGUUUGGGAAGUGAAAUGAACAGUGUGUUUUAUUAGAAUUUUCAGCAGAAAGUGACUUUUAAAACAAUGGCUAUCAGGUUAAAACCGUGUGGUGAAGCUACAGACACUAAGUUUCAGUGUAAAACAUUGUUUCCUUUUUCCUGUGCAAUUGUGCUGAAGGAGAAUCGGCAAAAAGUGUAUUAGACUCAAUUGGGAGUGGAAGUACAAUGGUACCUUGGUUUACAACCAUAAUCCGUUCCAGAGGUCCAGUUGUAAAUCAAUACAGGUUGUAACCCAAGGCGCGCUUUCGCCAAUGGGGCCUCCCAAAAAAAAUUGUUCGUAAUCCAAAAAAAAUGGGUUGUAAUUAAGGGACAUGCACUUCCGGGUUUGACAUGGUUGUAAUCCAGAACAGUUGUAAUCCAAAGUGGUUGCAAACCAAGGUACCACUGUACUAUUUUUCCUUUCUUUUUUGUUUCUGGUAAUACAUUGCCCUGUUUGGUGGAG